Molecule: ribosomal RNA, 617 nt
Filed under: uncultured bacterium
Lineage: Bacteria
Description: bacterial SSU rRNA
Rfam family: Bacterial small subunit ribosomal RNA
Source: RNAcentral
ACGGACGAGGCCCUUCGGGGACCGAGUUAGUGGCGAACGGGUGAGUAACGCGUGAGGAACCUGCCUUUCAGUGGGGGACAACAGUUGGAAACGACUGCUAAUACCGCAUGAAGCAUUUAGGGGGCAUCCCCUGAAUGCCAAAGAUUUAUUGCUGAAAGAUGGCCUCGCGUCUGAUUAGCUAGUUGGAGGGGUAACGGCCCACCAAGGCGACGAUCAGUAGCCGGUCUGAGAGGAUGAACGGCCACAUUGGGACUGAGAUACGGCCCAGACUCCUACGGGAGGCAGCAGUGGGGAAUAUUGGGCAAUGGGGGAAACCCUGACCCAGCAACGCCGCGUGAAGGAAGAAGGCUUUCGGGUUGUAAACUUCUUUUACCAGGGACGAAGAAAGUGACGGUACCUGGAGAGAAAGCCACGGCUAACUACGUGCCAGCAGCCGCGGUAAUACGUAGGUGGCAAGCGUUGUCCGGAUUUACUGGGUGUAAAGGGCGUGUAGGCGGAGAUUCAAGUCAGGAGUGAAAACUAUGGGCUUAACCCAUAAACUGCUUUUGAAACUGAAUCCCUUGAGUAUCGGAGAGGCAGGCGGAAUUCCUAGUGUAGCGGUGAAAUGCGUAGAUAUU